GCCAACACUCUGAGAAGGAAAUUGAAGCUCAGAGAAGGUCCAGCAGCUGAACAGAGAACAUGAGUUUCCAGUUGACAAAGUCUGUGCUCAGCUCCUUCACUGAACAUUGCUCUGAGCCAACGCAUGUCAGCGAGAGGACGCGGUGACACCGGCCUGUGGUUGCACCCAGAAACAAACAAGUAGGGAGAGCAGCCCCAGUUCUCCAGAAUGACCUCUUUCCUCCGAAUCCCACUCCAGGAAGAGAGUCCAGCAGGGGCCCCUGAGCUUGGGGCUGGCCCUGUGCGCUGUCAGCAGAGACCCCUGUCCAUCAGCACUUUGCAUGGGUCUGUCCUGCUUCAGUGGGGAAUGUUCCUCAGCAAAAGAACUGAGUGCAAUGCAGGGAUGCCAUCGGAGUUGGCUGGGGACAGCCUGGCUUUGUCAUGUUAGGGGGCAUGGAGGGGCAUGCAGUGCUCAGGGUGGACACCACACACAAGGGUCACACUGAGCUCAGAGGAACAAAUCGCAGGGAGAGAAUGUGCCAAUGGUGCUUUCUCCAAGACACCUCUGACCUGGAACUGCAAACCACCGCUGAUUCCCCUGCCCAGCUCCUCUGUUAGAAUGACCCCGUGGGGCUGCAGAUGACUUAACAGCUAUAUUUAGCAAGUCAUGGGAGGGAUGGGCCAGUUCCAGCCAGCUAGCCUGCCUUCAGAGGCCCUAGAUUCCUUUGUCCUUCCCUUCUGCCUCCCCUCCUAGUUUUUCCCACUGGCUGGCUCUUAACCCCUUCAUGGCUUGAGGACUCCUCUCAAAUAUGGGCAAAGCAGAUAGAACGUAAGGGAGGCCACCCGAGUAUCCCAGCCCCCAAAUUUCUCACUCAGCUGCCUGGAACUCUGCUUUACGAACUCCCUUUCUUCAGUCCUGAACUUUUCUUUUUUUUCAUCAUUAAGUGUUUCCUAAUAAAAUUAUGCAAGUACCCUUGGG
This 957-nucleotide long non-coding RNA is filed under the name Homo sapiens (human). Its description in RNAcentral is "HSALNT0134932". Lineage: Eukaryota; Metazoa; Chordata; Mammalia; Primates; Hominidae. The record is from RNAcentral.